This 497-nucleotide ribosomal RNA is filed under the name uncultured bacterium. RNAcentral's name for it is "partial 16S ribosomal RNA". It matches the Rfam family "Bacterial small subunit ribosomal RNA", at positions 28 to 507 of the family's 1533-position model. The record is from RNAcentral.
GAUGAACGCUGGCGGCGUGCCUAAUACAUGCAAGUCGAGCGCACAGACGAGGAGCUUGCUCCUCUUACGUUAGCGGCGGACGGGUGAGUAACACGUGGAUAACCUACCUAUAAGACUGGGAUAACUUCGGGAAACCGGAGCUAAUACCGCAUAAUAUCUUGAACCGCAUGGUUCAAUAGUGAAAGACGGUUUUGCUGUCACUUAUAGAUGUAUCCGGGCCGCAUUAGCUAGUUGGUAAGGUAACGGCUUACCAAGGCGACGAUGCGUAGCCGACCUGGGAGGGUGAUCGGCCACACUGGAACUGAAACAGGGCCCAGACUCCUACGGGAGGCAGCAGUAGGGAAUCUUCCGCAAUGGGCGAAAGCCUGACGGAGCAACGCCGCGUGAGUGAUGAAGGUCUUCGGAUCGUAAAACUUGGUUAUUAGGGAAGAACAAAUGUGUAAGUGAAUAUGCACGUCUUGACGGUACCUAAUCAGAAAGCCACGGCUAACUACGUG